This is a long non-coding RNA of Amphiprion ocellaris (clown anemonefish), 559 nucleotides long. The record is from Ensembl. NCBI's taxonomy places the organism in Eukaryota, Metazoa, Chordata, Actinopteri, Pomacentridae.
GUUGUGUACAGACUUACUUACUUCUCUGUCUACUUUUCUUACUCCAUGUAGGUUUCCCAGAGACUAUGGGUUGAGGAGGAAGUGGAAGUUUGUCGGCUUAGACCUGGUGUCAUUCCAUCAGUGUUUAACUUCCCGGCUCAUCUUGGAAGAGUACGUGCCAGAAAGACCACGACCAAGCAGCCUUGAGAUCUUAGGCAGCGUCUCCCUGAGGUCCCUCUCUAUCUCCCCACACAUCCACCAACCACUGGAACACAUCUCCAAAGUUCUGCUGGACCAGCUCAGCUUCCCCUCAGAAGAAGUGCCGCCACCUGCCAGAUGAAGGAGCCUUUUGAGAGGCAGCUGGCAUCGUGAUUGGACUGUACUUUGGUCUGUUCCAAUCCAGCUUCAGCUCCAGAGACGGCAGGCGGGACGAGUCAACGGAGGCCUGGUGGACGAAGACCAAAGAACUACAGACUCUUCACAACCUGCUCAAACUCUUGGUACAGGACCUCACCACACGGGUCAAGAAGGUUUCUGUCUCAUUUCUACUCUGAAGCUCACCUUCUCCUGCUCAAACUGC